RNAcentral lists this ribosomal RNA (542 nucleotides) under uncultured bacterium. Its description in RNAcentral is "bacterial SSU rRNA". It matches the Rfam family "Bacterial small subunit ribosomal RNA", at positions 777 to 1319 of the family's 1533-position model. The record is from RNAcentral.
AAUAGAUACCCAGGUAGUCCACGCCGUAAACGAUGAGUGCUAAGUGUUGGGGGGUUUCCGCCCCUCAGUGCUGCAGCUAACGCAUUAAGCACUCCGCCUGGGGAGUACGGUCGCAAGACUGAAACUCAAAGGAAUUGACGGGGGCCCGCACAAGCGGUGGAGCAUGUGGUUUAAUUCGAAGCAACGCGAAGAACCUUACCAGGUCUUGACAUCCCGGUGACCACUAUGGAGACAUAGUUUCCCCUUCGGGGGCAACGGUGACAGGUGGUGCAUGGUUGUCGUCAGCUCGUGUCGUGAGAUGUUGGGUUAAGUCCCGCAACGAGCGCAACCCUUAUUCUUAGUUGCCAUCAUUCAGUUGGGCACUCUAAGGAGACUGCCGGUGAUAAACCGGAGGAAGGUGGGGAUGACGUCAAAUCAUCAUGCCCCUUAUGACCUGGGCUACACACGUGCUACAAUGGACGGUACAAACGGUUGCCAACCCGCGAGGGGAGCUAAUCCGAUAAACCGUUCUCAGUUCGGAUUGUAGGCUGCAACUCGCCUAC